GACAGAGGUGCCGAGCGUUAGGCGGAAUCACUGGGCUUAAAGGGCGCGUAGGCGGGCCACCAAGUCCGGGGUGAAAUCUUUCGGCUCAACCGGAAAAUUGCCUUGGAUACUGGUGGUCUGGAGGGAGGUAGGGGCAUGUGGAACUUCCGGUGGAGCGGUGAAAUGCGUUGAUAUCGGAAGGAACGCCGGUGGCGAAAGCGACGUGCUGGACCUCUUCUGACGCUGAGGCGCGAAAGCUAGGGGAGCGAACGGG
This 253-nucleotide ribosomal RNA is filed under the name uncultured bacterium. RNAcentral's name for it is "partial 16S ribosomal RNA". It matches the Rfam family "Bacterial small subunit ribosomal RNA", at positions 524 to 776 of the family's 1533-position model. The record is from RNAcentral.